CAAGGAUGGGAUGGUCAGAGAA
This 22-nucleotide microRNA is filed under the name Symbiodinium microadriaticum. RNAcentral describes it as "smc-miR-12455-2-3p". Lineage: Eukaryota; Dinophyceae; Suessiales; Symbiodiniaceae. The record is from miRBase by way of RNAcentral.